This 423-nucleotide ribosomal RNA is filed under the name uncultured bacterium. RNAcentral describes it as "partial 16S ribosomal RNA". It matches the Rfam family "Bacterial small subunit ribosomal RNA", at positions 360 to 775 of the family's 1533-position model. The record is from RNAcentral.
AAUAUUGGACAAUGGGGGCAACCCUGAUCCAGCCAUGCCGCGUGUGUGAAGAAGGUCUUCGGAUUGUAAAGCACUCUAUGUUGGGAGGAAGGGCUUUAGUUUAUUACCCGGAAGUUUUGACGUUACCAACAGAAUAAGCCCCGGCUAACUCUGUGCCAGCGGCCGCGGUAAUACAGAGGGUGCAAGCGUUAAUCGGAAUUACUGGGCGUAAAGCGAGCGUAGGUGGUUCAGUAAGAUGGGUGUGAAAUCCCCGGGCUUAACCUGGGAACUGCUUUCAUAACUGCUGAGCUAGAGUACGGUAGAGGGUAGUGGAAUUUCCUGUGUAGCGGUGAAAUGCGUAGAUAUAGGAAGGAACACCAGUGGCGAAGGCGACUACCUGGACUGAUACUGACACUGAGGUGCGAAAGCGUGGGGAGCAAACAG